Molecule: long non-coding RNA, 1844 nt
Organism: Oreochromis niloticus (Nile tilapia)
Lineage: Eukaryota; Metazoa; Chordata; Actinopteri; Cichliformes; Cichlidae
Exons: 7
Source: RefSeq, a predicted model, not a curated record
GGAGCGUGGGAAGACUCCAGAAUCCACUCUGGCUGGAAUCCGGUGGAUACAGCAGUGUUUACAGAACAGUUCUCCACAGUCACUGUCCACAUGGGUCAGUGGGACCAAGAAGCACACUGCUAAUGUGUGGACUCUGACCAGCAACAUCCAGCAAGACGCAGACAGCGUUUUCUAUCUCCCAGCUGGAGAUUUUUUUGUUUGUCUGUGACUGGAGAGUCAGAUUUUUGUUGAGGCUGGAGGAACAGCCUCACACUUGCAGAGGUUAAUACAUGCUACUGAUCCCUGAUGGGAGAAUCAUCACCUCUGCCAACAAAGAAGCCUGGUGGAUAUUUGUUUACAGACUGAUGAUGGGACAUCAUGCUCUGCAUCUUCAAAUCUUUUUGCAGGAUCAGAAAACAAAACCAGGAGGCCUGUAAAUGUUUCUUCUCCAAUUGGAUGAUGAUAAGACUGUGACACGGGAUGCCACCUUUAGUCUUGUGAUGAAGCAAAGCUCAGGAAGAAGUGUGAUUAAAUGGUACCCACAUGUGUGCUGCUGAGAAGGAUGUACAGGGGCACCUGCAGCCAAAUCCAAGCCUCCUCAAAUGGUGAUGGUGUGGAGAGACGGUGGUGUUUCCUCAGAAGAACUAGCAGAGUCACAAAGGGCACGAGUCCUUCUCACCACCUUGACUUGCUGACUGAUGCUCGUCUGCACUGCACAGAGGAAAUCAACUGACCGAGGAGUGUUUCUGAGUGAGGGAGAGAGGAGUCAUCAUCCAGGUAAAGUGACGUGGAUCAGUGGAUACACUUGUCUCUCCUUUAAAGGAGAUACUCUUAGAGAGAGACGAUCAGAGUCAUCCUUAAAUGUUAGUGCUUUCAAAUACACAAACAUUUUUAAAGGACAAAAACGAACAUCCAACUUUGACUGUAAUACAAUUAAAUCUUUGCAUGUGUGUUUUCAAACUCUCAGAUGGGAAGGAUAUCAGUCCUGGACUGUCUAACCUGCAGGAGCAGCACUGAAUAACCACCACACAUGAGCAUGUUCCUGCAACAUUCAGCAUCUGAUCUGCCAUCUGUGUGCUUCUGCUUUUGUGUCAAAUGUCAAACAGCUGGAGAGGAAACUACACCAGUGUACUGGGAUGUUUCACCAACACGUGCCAGACGCUGUAACUUCAUGGUUUCAUCACCAGAGACGGCCCCGCCCACCUCAGGACCUCGCCAUUGAUCAUGAUGAUUAUAAUGAUGACAGCGAGCGGAACUAAGACUGUAAAAAUCCACGACCAGAAUGUUUAGAUGCUUUCUAAUUAUUAAUGAAUACUGAGAGCCUCUUUCUGUGUUUUGUCUGUUUUGUUUUGUUUUGUUUUUUACCUCAUUUGUUACUAACAAAGUUCACCAAACUCACACAGUUUACAUUCUGUAUGUUUCCAUCUUUACCAGCCACACUCUACCCGCAAUUAAGCAAAUAAUCCUUAGAAAUUGUCGUUUUUCUCUUUUGUAAUUGAUGAUAAUUCAGUGAAUAUAGUGCGCUGCUUCCUUUUAUUGCAUCACACAUUGCUUUAAGUUUUUCAGUGUCGUUAUUUUUUUACUGCUGUUUGAAUUCUCUGCAUGUUUGACCCUGUAGACUGUUUAAUGGACUGCUUGUCUUGUAACCGCUGCCUGUUUUUGACUGAAGAUUUGGAUUUCUGACUUUAACACAGCCUCUGCGUGUCCUCCCUUUGUGUCCUCUUCCUCUGUGAAUCUGUUGCAUGUGUCACAGAUUCAUUUUAUUAACAGCUUUCCCACAGUGAGUUGCAUCAGCAUUCAUUCACAGCACAUUUCAGAAGGAUUCAGAUUAAUACAGUGAUCUUAUAGUCAGAAUUAUCCUGACA